AUCUUCAGGGCAGGGUGAAAUUCCCGACCGGCGGUCAUAACCCGCGAGCACAUUUAUGUGCAGGAACAGGUGUAAUUCCUGUGUCGACAGUACAGUCUGGAUGGAAGAAGAUG
This 113-nucleotide non-coding RNA is filed under the name marine sediment metagenome. RNAcentral's name for it is "FMN riboswitch aptamer (RFN element)". It matches the Rfam family "FMN riboswitch aptamer (RFN element)". From Rfam's summary of the family: The RFN element is a highly conserved domain that is found frequently in the 5'-untranslated regions of prokaryotic mRNAs that encode for flavin mononucleotide (FMN) biosynthesis and transport proteins. This element is a metabolite-dependent riboswitch that directly binds FMN in the absence of proteins. RNAcentral also lists the same sequence under 1 other name. The record is from RNAcentral.